This 193-nucleotide long non-coding RNA is filed under the name Pongo abelii (Sumatran orangutan). RNAcentral's name for it is "lincRNA". The record is from RNAcentral. Lineage: Eukaryota; Metazoa; Chordata; Mammalia; Primates; Hominidae.
CGGAGGUGCAGCCUUUUCAGGCAGGGCUUCCUGCCUGAGGAUGUGCUCCUCUCUUGGGACCUGCUUAUCUCCUGGAAUCUGAGACACAACACAGAGCAAUUCCCAGGCCAGUCAUGACUGGAGCCUCCACCAGUAUAUGGUGAGGUGCAGAGAAGGGCCCCGUGCUAGGCCAAGAGCCUAUCCUUGACCAGUU